Molecule: unclassified non-coding RNA, 359 nt
Filed under: soil metagenome
Description: partial contains 5.8S ribosomal RNA, internal transcribed spacer 2, and large subunit ribosomal RNA
Rfam family: 5.8S ribosomal RNA (bases 1-120)
Source: RNAcentral
GAUGAAGAACGUAGCGAAAUGCGAUAAGUAAUGUGAAUUGCAGAAUUCAGUGAAUCAUCGAGUCUUUGAACGCACAUUGCGCCCCCUGGUAUUCCGGGGGGCAUGCCUGUCCGAGCGUCAUUGCUGCCCAUCAAGCGCGGCUUGUGUGUUGGGCCGCCGUCCGCCUUCCCCCCCGGGGGGAGGGGGACGGGCCCGAAAGGCAGCGGCGGCACCGCGUCCGGUCCUCGAGCGUAUGGGGCUCUGUCACCCGCUCUGGAGGCCCGGCCGGCGCCCGCCGACCCCCAACCUUCUUCUAACCAGGUUGACCUCGGAUCAGGUAGGGAUACCCGCUGAACUUAAGCAUAUCAAUAAGCGGAGGA